This 253-nucleotide ribosomal RNA is filed under the name uncultured bacterium. RNAcentral describes it as "partial 16S ribosomal RNA". It matches the Rfam family "Bacterial small subunit ribosomal RNA", at positions 524 to 776 of the family's 1533-position model. The record is from RNAcentral.
UACGAAGGUCCCAAGCGUUGUUCGGAAUCACUGGGCGUAAAGGGAGCGUAGGCGGCGUGGUAAGUCAGAUGUGAAAUCCCGGGGCUCAACCCCGGAACUGCAUCCGAUACUGCCAUGCUAGAGGAUUGGAGAGGUAGCUGGAAUUCUUGGUGUAGCAGUGAAAUGCGUAGAGAUCAAGAGGAACACUCGUGGCGAAAGCGAGCUACUGGACGAAUACUGACGCUGAGACUCGAAAGCGUGGGGAGCAAACAGG